This 164-nucleotide ribosomal RNA is filed under the name Ebenus laguroides. RNAcentral's name for it is "5.8S ribosomal RNA". It matches the Rfam family "5.8S ribosomal RNA". From Rfam's summary of the family: 5.8S ribosomal RNA (5.8S rRNA) is a component of the large subunit of the eukaryotic ribosome. It is transcribed by RNA polymerase I as part of the 45S precursor that also contains 18S and 28S rRNA. Lineage: Eukaryota; Viridiplantae; Streptophyta; Magnoliopsida; Fabales; Fabaceae. RNAcentral also lists the same sequence under 5 other names. The record is from RNAcentral.
AUAACGACUCUCGGCAACGGAUAUCUAGGCUCUUGCAUCGAUGAAGAACGUAGCGAAAUGCGAUACUUGGUGUGAAUUGCAGAAUCCCGUGAACCAUCGAGUCUUUGAACGCAAGUUGCGCCCGAAGCCAUUAGGUUGAGGGCACGUCUGCCUGGGCGUCACAU